GACGAACGCUGGCGGCGUGCUUAACACAUGCAAGUCGAACGGUGAAGCGAGUGCUUGCACUCGUGGAUCAGUGGCGAACGGGUGAGUAACACGUGAGUAACCUGCCCAUCACUCUGGGAUAAGCACUGGAAACGGUGUCUAAUACUGGAUACGACCAACCCUUGCAUGGGGUGUUGGUGGAAAGAUUUAUCGGUGAUGGAUGGACUCGCGGCCCAUCAGCUUGUUGGCGGGGUAAUGGCCCACCAAGGCGACGACGGGUAGCCGGCCUGAGAGGGUGACCGGCCACACUGGGACUGAGACACGGCCCAGACUCCUACGGGAGGCAGCAGUGGGGAAUAUUGCACAAUGGGCGAAAGCCUGAUGCAGCGACGCCGCGUGAGGGAUGACGGCCUUCGGGUUGUAAACCUCUUUCAGCAGGGAAGAAGCGAAAGUGACGGUACCUGCAGAAGAAGCACCGGCUAACUACGUG
Molecule: ribosomal RNA, 469 nt
Filed under: uncultured bacterium
Lineage: Bacteria
Description: partial 16S ribosomal RNA
Rfam family: Bacterial small subunit ribosomal RNA
Source: RNAcentral